Long non-coding RNA from Zootermopsis nevadensis, 2744 nucleotides. RefSeq lists it as uncharacterized. Lineage: Eukaryota; Metazoa; Arthropoda; Insecta; Blattodea; Termopsidae. The record is from RefSeq and is a predicted model, not a curated record.
CAUUCUUGACAGAUUCAAAACUACCCUUAAGAUUCUGGAGGAAGUCUUUUAAGUUGCUGAACAUGGGCAGACCACAUUAGUAAGCACAGACACUUUCGUGUCCUCUUUAUGAGACCCCGCGUGUGACUGGUGGUUAGUGCAGCUUGCGCCUACCGACCCUCAAUCCGUUCUACAUACCACGUGACGCUACUACCAUGGUAACUGAUUGUUAUUCUCCGUUCAUGAAGGUAAUACGUUCCCGUACUCAAGGGGAAGUCCAAGGAUUGAAUUCAGCGGAACACCAUUUCUAACUACUGUGCGUGUCUAGUGUCAGAGUUCCGGAAUUUCGCCACGACCAGAAGACAUUCCAGCACGGCUGGCUGGUACUUCAUUAAGGAAUGUUCAAUAAUUGAGUGAAAGACGUGAAAAUAUGUUUGCAAGCAAAUUAUUCAGUCACGAGAUGAUUCAGAAAUGUUGAUUUCUUCUUGGCAUCGGUCCUAGAUACUCGUUUUCCACUAACUAAGUUCCUAAUCAGCAAGAACAACGAGCAGAUAGUAAAUCCUGGUUCAGUGUAGACUACUUUCGGCCUCUACGGUUUUCUUGAUCAAGUCCAAUUCAGUCCACAAAUUCACAUUGCUGUCACUUGCAUCCGUCUUAAUGUGAUUUUCCCAUCUACGCCUCUGUCUCUCGAGUGGUCUCUUUCCUUGAGGGUUUCUGAUAAAAAUUUAGAAAGGAUUUCUUACUUCCUCCAUAAAUGCUGCAUGCCUAAUCCAUCGCAUUGCUUUUCUGUGAAGUUCGUCGUUAUGAAAUCUUCAUCAAUCAUUUGCUACUUCUUCUCUACUAGGAAAUUUAUUUUUCAUAAUCGAUGUUAUUCUUCACUCCAUCAUAAAACAUGUUACGAUGGUUCAAUACCAUUCAUACCCCAUUCGAUAUCCUGCAGCCAACAACUUCUAUUGCUGAUAAUGUUGACAGUUUUCAAUCAGCUUGCCCUACAGAGACUCUUUACGUUCCUAAUUGCUAACCAUAAUUCCGUUUCGGUUGAAACUGUACUGAAUAUGACGAAUAUAAAAUUCGAAUCACGUUUGUUUUCUAAUCAACCCGUGUCAGUUUUUUAAAGCACCUACAAAUAUACUAAUCCGCGGUAUCCGUUCAUAAGAUAACUUAUAAACUCAAUAACAAUAUCUAUUUUCCACACUUCAGGCACUUAACAUUUCCUUUGUUCGGAGUUUCUUUUCUAGCACAGACGACUAAUAAAUGCUUUUGUUCUUUUAGUGUUCCUGUCAGAUUUAGGAUUAGGGAAAAAAUAUGUUUUAUCACCGUAUUUUAAGAUUUUGUUGCUAAUAUAAAAAUUCAACUUUAACUGGAAUUGGACGGUGAAAGUAAACAGUUUUGUUACUUUCGUCUCCUGGACAGGCUAUCUUCUUGUGGUGCGAAAUGUAGGAAAAUGUCUUAUGACUUAAACUCAUGUCACUUUCAGAGAUACUCUAUUAUACACCAUGCAUAAAAUUCAGGCUUUCCCAAUUUUCUCACUUUAUUUGCAGUCUGAAAUGUCGUAAAAACAGGGAUGAAUUGGUGGACGUACUAAUGGACACACAGACGAUUCUGUAUUAUUAUACACAGAUUAAUUUGUAGUACUGGUGGAAACAAUUACAUACCAACAUAUCUUUAACCAUCUUCGUCACAAUCUGAUUAUUUUAUAACCACAUCAACCGAGUCGUUUCAGUACCAGGGUACCGUGAAUGACCCAGCCUUGACCUCAGCGUGGGAAUAUUGCCAAAUUCUCAACACCGACCCAAUCCUGCAUUAACCAGGUUGCUCUGCUUCCACGCUAGGUCACUGAAUAAAAUAUUGGGUCACUAUGAAAGUUAAACCUGAGUAUAUCAACAUCGAGUCACGUGAUAUGAGUUCAUUGAUCACGACGACUUCGCCGGCCGGAAAGUGGCCUCACCAUUUUCGUCCCUGACGUACGUUCCACUUAAAGUCGCAGAUAGGAGGAUAGUAUUAAUACUUGUCAUGGGAGAAACAGGUUAAAAUAAUGUGAAGUGGGCUAAAAUUGUUUGUUAUGCAACCAUAUUAACAUAGAGAAACGUAUUACUUAUUUUGGCAUAGACACUUCGGGUAUUUUGCUAAAACAAUAAAUUGACGUCCAAAAAUUUCUCAACAACCGCAAAUGACACUUCAAAGAAAAUUUUGUUGUUUGCAGCAGUUAUAUUGAUUUAAAAAGACGUAAUAUCUGUAAAUCCUUAAAUGUUCUCUUUGGCCUUACUUGCAAAGUUGUAUUUUUCAGACUUACAAAACAUUUGCCAACUUCCUCCACACCUUGAAAGAAAACUCUGUCAAGACUGCAAAACAGAACAGUCCACAAGUCCAGCUGAUUGUUUACACGUUUAGGCAUACAUUUUUUCACAGAAUACAGCUAUACGAUAAAGCCGUCAGAUAACCGCGAACUUCCUGACUAAAUGAAUUUGUAGCUUCAGGAUUUUACGUCACGGGGCCUUCGUGACUUUUUUGUAGGCACACACAAUGCGACCAACUGAUUCCUUGUAGAUCACUUAAACCUAACUGGCCUCUCACAUACAGAUCGUUCCAUUGAAAAGCUUCCAUCACUACUACAGCAUUUAUAAGCUUUGGUGACAUUAAUAUAACAAGACAAACAAAUUGUUUUUUAAGCUUUUAUUUGUUAGGAAGAACUUACAAAACAACUUUACAGCAAAUGCUGAUAAAGUCCACAACCAUCGCCCUUUUUAGCGUGUUUGCGACUGUGU